GACGAACGCUGGCGGCGUGCUUAACACAUGCAAGUCGAACGGAAAGGCCCUGCUUUUGUGGGGUGCUCGAGUGGCGAACGGGUGGGUAACACGUGAGUAACCUGCCCUUGACUUUGGGAUAACUUCAGGAAACUGGGGCUAAUACCGGAUAGGAGCUCCUGCUGCAUGGUGGGGGUUGGAAAGUUUCGGCGGUUGGGGAUGGACUCGCAGCUUAUCAGCUUGUUGGUGGGGUAGUGGCUUACCAAGGCUUUGACGGGUAGCCGGCCUGAGUGGGUGACCGGCCACAUUGGGACUGAGAUACGGCCCAGACUCCUACGGGAGGCAGCAGUGGGGAAUAUUGCACAAUGGGCGGAAGCCUGAUGCAGCAACGCCGCGUGCGGGAUGACGGCCUUCGGGUUGUAAACCGCUUUCGCCUGUGACGAAGCGUGAGUGACGGUAAUGGGUAAAGAAGCACCGGCUAACUACGUG
Molecule: ribosomal RNA, 468 nt
Filed under: uncultured bacterium
Lineage: Bacteria
Description: partial 16S ribosomal RNA
Rfam family: Bacterial small subunit ribosomal RNA
Source: RNAcentral